Molecule: non-coding RNA, 2363 nt
Organism: Poecilia reticulata (guppy)
Lineage: Eukaryota; Metazoa; Chordata; Actinopteri; Cyprinodontiformes; Poeciliidae
Source: RefSeq, a predicted model, not a curated record
UUGUGUCAUAUUUGUCAUCCAACUUACUCUGUAUCGUAACUCCUGAACGGUUGGCCGCAUUUAAAAAAAUCCUAAAGUAUUAUUGCAUAAAAUAAACUUUUCAACGGCGUAUCACAUGUGCAUGUUGCAGCAGAUAUUAGAGUAAAUAUUUUCGAUACGGAAUUUCCCUGCGGAGCUUCGUGUUGUGUCAACGGGGUGAGAGAGAAAACCGCAGAGGACGAGUUGAAAUGGCGCAUAAAAUGAUGGAAAUGUCUAAAAAACCACCAGACUGAUGAAAGGUCCCACAAGGCUGAUAUUUGAGCGCAGUGAACAUGAGAGACGUAUAACCAGCGAACCAGGUUAUGUAAAAUAUUUGUACAAGCUAAUGUCAGUCAUAUGAAUGCUGCACAGCUAUUGGCUAGCUGUGUGAAGCUAACGGGGGCCGAGGGGGGUCACAGUGAGAGAACUAUGUCAAAGUUCGCUAAAAUGUUAUGAGCUUUAAAAAUCCUUGAAGCUCAUACACAUUUAAUGUCAGAAACAGAAUGAAAUGAAAAUUGUUGCAUUUAAAAUAUAUUAAAUAUUAAGUACAUUACUUGGAUGAACUUUGUUGAACCAGUGACGCACUUCCGGUUUACAUUGCAAAAACUUUGCUGAAGGAACUACCGGUAGCAUAUUAGCCAUGGAUUUUUUACAUUAUUAUAUUUACCCGUUCGCUGCAUAAUCAGCAGAAAAAUAAACUUUCAGAAAUCUGAGGCUAUCCGUGGAGUGAUGACACAUCCCAGCAAACUGGCAGGAAAAAACGAUGGCGUUGUUGUUAUGGCAACGUGAUGUUGAUCCAAAAAGUCACCAUGAUUAAUUGUGCAUCAUUUGGAUUGGGGAUGGUGGUGUGGGGUUGGCUGCUGUUUUCCCCCUUUCUCCACCAGAGGGUGCCGAGAGGUUGAUUUCUGGAGGGCGUGACCAGUGGCUGCAGGUUUACCUGCACACUUGCAAGUCAUCUGAUCAUCUGGAGGAGUAUAAGAGGAAGGAGCGGCCAACACUUCUUUGCCAGAGUGUCAGCCAGUAAUGGUGAACCCUCGUGACGUCGUGGAUGUUACCCACAGAUGUCCGAGUUCCAUUGACGCCCUCGCCGUUUACCAAACCUUCCAGGAUCUCUCAAGUUGGCUGUCUCCGUCGCUCUUCUCAUCUGGAAACUCAAGAACUUACCUCUCCGUUCUCCACCACUGUCCUUCCAUCGGUCUAGCAGCAAGCCCUCCACCUUGAUCUCCACCCUGGUAACCAUAGUAACCUCCUCCUGGCUCAGUUCUCCACAAACCCAAUGAUCCAGAAUCUUGUUGCCGCCUCCCCUUGAACCCACAGYUCUAAUUGUUUUGUUGUUCUUUUCAAUAAACCAUUUAACUGAUUUGUUCUCCGCCUGGUGUUUCUGCAUGUGGGUUAGAAAGUUAGAACCCAUCAUGAUAAUUUUAGCUUGAUUUAUCCUACCUUGUUGGUACCUGCCCUAGCUUCCCUGAGCUUAACUUGUUUUAUCUUAUAGGGCCUUGUCUUUUGUAGUUUACCUUAAAUUAAUGAUUGUAUUCKGACUCAUGUCCUACCUAUGUUGGUGUUUCUCUCCUCAACUUGCCCUGAUUUAUUUCUACAUCUCAUAUCAGUGUAUUUUUUUUGCUCACCUUAGCUUAGAGUUUGCUGCUAUCUUUGGUCUUUCAGUGUCUCGGUGUCAGGAUCUUUGGUCGUUCUGGGUUUUCUGAUCUGAUUUGUUCUCRGCCUUGUUUCUGUUUAGUUCAGUGCCUUUCUAGUUCUUUGUGUUUAGUUCAUUGUUGCUGUUGGUUGCCUUACCAGUGUACUGUCCCUCGCCCCUCUCUCUUCCCUCACACCUGCAGCCCGUUAGCCAAUCAUCAGUUUUUCCUUCUGUGACGCCCGUCAUGAUUGUCUUUGUACUAGCUUCCCAUUUGUUCCUGCAUGUUGGUCCACCAUAAGCUCAACAAAACUUGAUKCUYGUCUUAUUUUAAGCUAGCCAGGUUUAUUUUAGUUUUUUAUCUUAGUUAUUCUCAUCUUUGGUUUCUUGAUUUCUGUUACCAUAGAGUUGCUCUUCAAAUCGUAGCUUAGUACAGCUCCUCUGACCAAGCUAUACUUUUCAAACAAGCUUAUUCUGUUUGUGUGAUUUUGUCAUUGAUUUUACUCACUUUUAAUAGUUUUAACAUUGGGCUUUGACUGUUAUCCUCUGCGAUUACAUGUGUAGCUCUUUGAGAUUUUUAACAAAGUGCAUAAGGAAUUAAAUGUAUUAUUGUAUCCACCCUGACUUGGGUUAUUUUGGUUUGCGUUAUCUUACCUCACCUGAACUUUCUAUGUUGCAUUUUUUAAUCGACCAUAAAUUUUGCUGUCUUCCUGUA